This 500-nucleotide long non-coding RNA is filed under the name Paramuricea clavata. Lineage: Eukaryota; Metazoa; Cnidaria; Anthozoa; Malacalcyonacea; Plexauridae. The record is from RNAcentral.
AGGGUGUAUAAAAAAAAACUGAACAGAUUUAAAAUUGCUCUCAAUUUCGCAAAACAGCUAUUUGUAGCUGGUUUUAUAUAUAUAUAACUUCUUUGGGUACUAAAAAUGUAAAAUAAUGAAAAAAAUUUCUCGAACUCAAAUUUUGUGAACCAGGGGUGUGUGUCUUUUCCAACAAACUAAAAGUGGCUCGCGCACAAAAUUUAAAAGCUGCAAUCAUAUUUUGAGUUACCAGAUGGACAAUUUGUCGGGAUUUUAAUUACUGUACAAAAUUUCAGACAAUUUGGUUUAGUUUAAGCCCUUAACUAUUCACGCAAAGUUACAAUUUUCCCGAAAAAUCAGCUAUUUGCAUGCUUAAUUAAUGCAUUUGCCUAAUUUGCAUAUGUCAGCAAUAUGCAAAUUAGGUAAAGGCAUUAAUUAAGCAUGCGAAAGGCUGACUUUUUGGAACAAAAUGAAUAGUUAAAGGGCUUAAACUAAACCAAAUUAUCUGAAAUUUUGUACAG